Molecule: long non-coding RNA, 891 nt
Organism: Lycium barbarum (goji berry)
Lineage: Eukaryota; Viridiplantae; Streptophyta; Magnoliopsida; Solanales; Solanaceae
Exons: 2
Source: RefSeq, a predicted model, not a curated record
UGAAUGUGUUGUGGUGUGGAUAAAUGGAUAAAAAAAAAUCAUGAAGUUGUCGUAGUUGUGUUGAAGCCGUGUAGGGGGCUGUUUUGAGGCUAGUUGUGCGUUUGACGUAAAUUGUAUAUUUUAUGAAAAUCAUAUCGUUAUAUUGUGGAUUGUGAUACAAAACAUGACUUAAAAAUAAGGAAAGCAACGAGAGGGCUGCUCACAGUUUAGGGGACUGGUUUCGGCCAGCUUUGGGAAAAUUUUUGGAUUGUUGGAAAAAAAUUAUGUGAAUGGUUUAGAAGUCCUCUAAUGUUGUUAGUAUGGAUUUGGGUUAAUAAUCGAAUGUACGAACGAUAUUGUGGCUUGAAAGUAAGCCGUUGAAACGAAUAUUUGGAAAGUUGUUGAAAGAUGUAAAAGAGAGCUAUUAAUGUUGUUUUGCCUUUCGAAUUGAUUAUUGAUGUUGCUAGGUUGGUUAUUGUGGUUGUUGUUGAUUUUGAGCGAGAUAAAUUCUCGGGAUGGCCUAUUUAUAGGGGAAGUGCUGCCGAAUUUUCUGUAGAAUUUAAUGAUUAGUUGGAAAGAAUGGCUCAAGUGUCCUUAACUAAUGUUUGGUAUUCGUUGGCGUAUUUGUAGACCUUGGGGAGCCCGAGGCGUAGAUUGGAAAUUUACUUUAGAUUGGCUAUUUUGGAAGUGCGUAAGAGGUACAGACGCACAGCCUGGUGAUCCACCUGUUUAGGACACCCUUUCUGCUAUUCGGAGUGCUCCUCUCUUUCCGGAGCUUAUACUUUUGGUAUAUAUAUUUUUAUUAGUGCAUUUGUAUAUAUUCGUUCAUGGGUACGGCGGGGGCCCUGUCCCGUCAUAUGAUUCUGUCGGUCUGUUUAGAGGUCUGUGGACAUGUUUGUGGGUUAGGGUCUU